UGAAAAGGAACUUUCGCUAAGCACGCAUAUGUCCUGUAUGCAACGCAGAAGUCACCACAUCCUGCGGA
RNAcentral lists this small RNA (68 nucleotides) under Sporolactobacillus inulinus. RNAcentral describes it as "Bacillaceae-1 RNA". It matches the Rfam family "Bacillaceae-1 RNA". Lineage: Bacteria; Bacillati; Bacillota; Bacilli; Caryophanales; Sporolactobacillaceae. RNAcentral also lists the same sequence under 1 other name. The record is from Rfam by way of RNAcentral.